This 279-nucleotide ribosomal RNA is filed under the name uncultured bacterium. Its description in RNAcentral is "partial 16S ribosomal RNA". It matches the Rfam family "Bacterial small subunit ribosomal RNA", at positions 506 to 784 of the family's 1533-position model. The record is from RNAcentral.
UGCCAGCCGCCGCGGUAAUACAGAGGGUGCAAGCGUUAUUCGGAAUUACUGGGCGUAAAGCGCGCGUAGGCGGACUGUUAAGUCGGUUGUGAAAGCCCUGGGCUCAACCUAGGAACUGCAUCCGAUACUGGCAAUCUAGAGUUUAAGAGAGGGAAGUGGAAUUCCAGGUGUAGCAGUGAAAUGCGUAGAUAUCUGGAGGAACAUCAGUGGCGAAGGCGACUUCCUGGCUUAAAACUGACGCUGAGGUGCGAAAGCUUGGGUAGCGAACGGGAUUAGAUA